Molecule: ribosomal RNA, 459 nt
Filed under: uncultured Rhodocyclaceae bacterium
Lineage: Bacteria; Pseudomonadati; Pseudomonadota; Betaproteobacteria; Rhodocyclales; Rhodocyclaceae
Description: bacterial SSU rRNA
Rfam family: Bacterial small subunit ribosomal RNA
Source: RNAcentral
GCACAAGCGGUGGAUGAUGUGGAUUAAUUCGAUGCAACGCGAAAACCUUACCUACCCUUGACAUGUCCGGAAUCCCGAAGAGAUUUGGGAGUGCUCGCAAGAGAACCGGAACACAGGUGCUGCAUGGCUGUCGUCAGCUCGUGUCGUGAGAUGUCGGGUUAAGUCCCGCAACGAGCGCAACCCUUGUCAUUAGUUGCCAUCAUUUGGUUGGGCACUCUAAUGAGACUGCCGGUGACAAACCGGAGGAAGGUGGGGAUGACGUCAAGUCCUCAUGGCCCUUAUGGGUAGGGCUUCACACGUCAUACAAUGGUCGGUACAGAGGGUUGCCAACCCGCGAGGGGGAGCUAAUCCCACAAAGCCGAUCGUAGUCCGGAUCGCAGUCUGCAACUCGACUGCGUGAAGUCGGAAUCGCUAGUAAUCGUGGAUCAGCAUGUCACGGUGAAUACGUUCCCGGGUCUU